RNAcentral lists this ribosomal RNA (735 nucleotides) under uncultured Sebacinales. RNAcentral describes it as "eukaryotic LSU rRNA". It matches the Rfam family "Eukaryotic large subunit ribosomal RNA", at positions 1 to 658 of the family's 3401-position model. Lineage: Eukaryota; Fungi; Basidiomycota; Agaricomycetes; Sebacinales. The record is from RNAcentral.
GUCUAUAUGGUGUGGCUCUAGCUUCUAACGGUCCUUGACGGGACAACUUCUGACAAUUUGGCCUCAAAUCGGGUGGGACUACCCGCUGAACUUAAGCAUAUCAAUAAGCGGAGGAAAAGAAACUAACAAGGAUUCCCCUAGUAACGGCGAGUGAAGAGGGAAAAGCUCAAAUUUUGAAUCUGGUGUCUCUGACGCCCGAGUUGUAAUCUAGAGAAGUGUUUUCCGUGUCGGACCGUGCACAAGUUCCCUGGAAUGGGGUGUCAUAGAGGGUGAGAAUCCCGUAUAUGGCAUGGACUGCCGAUGCUUUGUGAUACACUCUCAACGAGUCGAGUUGUUUGGGAAUGCAGCUCAAAAUGGGUGGUAAAUUCCAUCUAAAGCUAAAUAUUGGCGAGAGACCGAUAGCGAACAAGUACCGUGAGGGAAAGAUGAAAAGCACUUUGGAAAGAGAGUGAAACAGUACGUGAAAUUGUUGAAAGGGAAGCGUUUGAAGUCAGUCAUAUCUGGUGGGAUUCAGCCCUGGCUUCUGCCUGGUGUACUUUCCAUCCGAUGGGUCAGCAUCAAUUUCGACCGAGGGAAAAAGGCGCUGGGAAUGUGGCUGUCUUCGGGCAGUGUUAUAGCCUGGUGUUGUAUGCCUUGGUUGGGAUUGAGGAACGCAGCGCGCCUUUUGGCCAGGGGUUCGCCUCUUGACACGCGCUUAGGAUGCUGGCAUAAUGGCUUUAAGCGACCCGUCUUGAA